This 500-nucleotide ribosomal RNA is filed under the name uncultured bacterium. Its description in RNAcentral is "partial 16S ribosomal RNA". It matches the Rfam family "Bacterial small subunit ribosomal RNA", at positions 28 to 507 of the family's 1533-position model. The record is from RNAcentral.
GACGAACGCUGGCGGCGUGCUUAACACAUGCAAGUCGAACGGGUCUGCCCUGUUUUUUGCGGGGUGGGUCAGUGGCGAACGGGUGAGUAACACGUGAGUAACCUGCCCCUCACUUCUGGAUAACCGCUUGAAAGGGUGGCUAAUACGGGGUGUUCUGGCUGUGCCGCAUGGUGUGGCUGGGAAAGAUUCACUUUUGUGGUGUUUUGGUGGGGGAUGGGCUCGCGGCCUAUCAGCUUGUUGGUGGGGUGAUGGCCUGCCAAGGCUUUGACGGGUAGCCGGCCUGAGAGGGUGGGCGGUCACACUGGGACUGAGAUACGGCCCAGACUCCUGCGGGAGGCAGCAGUGGGGGGUAUUGCACAAUGGGCGGAAGCCUGAUGCAGCGACGUCGCGUGAGGGAUGGGGGCCUUCGGGUUGUGAACCUCUUUCGCCGGUGAAGAAGGUCCUGCUCUUUGUGGUGGGGUUGACGGUAGCCGGGUUAUGAAGCGCCGGCUAACUACGUG